UCCGCAUAAAAUUAUGGAAUCGCAUGGUUCUGUAAUCAAAGGAGCAAUCCGCUUUGAGAUGGGCCCGCGGCGCAUUAGCUAGUUGGUAAGGUAAAGGCUUACCAAGGCGACGAUGCGUAGCCGACCUGAGAGGGUGAUCGGCCACAUUGGAACUGAGACACGGUCCAGACUCCUACGGGAGGCAGCAGUGGGGAAUAUUGCGCAAUGGGGGAAACCCUGACGCAGCAACGCCGCGUGAGUGAUGAAGGCCUUAGGGUUGUAAAGCUCUGUUAUCUGGGACGAUAAUGACGGUACCAGAGGAGGAAGCCACGGCUAACUACGUGCCAGCAGCCGCGGUAAUACGUAGGUGGCGAGCGUUGUCCGGAUUUACUGGGCGUAAAGAGUGCGUAGGCGGAUGUUUAAGUGAGAUGUGAAAUACCCGAGCUCAACUUGGGUGCUGCAUUUCAAACUGGGCAUCUAGAGUGCAGGAGAGGAAAGCGGAAUUCCUAGUGUAGCGGUGAAAUGCGUAGAUUUAA
RNAcentral lists this ribosomal RNA (515 nucleotides) under Clostridium sp. FSAA-6. RNAcentral describes it as "bacterial SSU rRNA". It matches the Rfam family "Bacterial small subunit ribosomal RNA", at positions 168 to 699 of the family's 1533-position model. The record is from RNAcentral. Lineage: Bacteria; Bacillati; Bacillota; Clostridia; Eubacteriales; Clostridiaceae.